AUGGGCGGGGUCUGUUUAGGUUUUGUGUGUGAUUGACUUCCGGUUAAGCACUUCCGGGCAACAGUUAGCUAGUUACAUAUCUCACUGUCGCUUCUUACAACUUCCCAAAUAUGGACGAAAAACAGGCAUUUUAUGAUCGGUAAGGGGAUGCCACAAUAACUGGCAGAAACGGAAGCUGUUCAUGGAACAGGAGUGUUUUGACCACCCAACAAUUUUUGAGAGAGUAGUGCAGUUGUGAGGCGCCUUUUGAUUUGCACCAGCCUCCUAAGGGCGUGGAGUCUCUUCGGAAUUGCCUCAGCGGAUUGCACUUGAAGAAACCUCUAAACAUAAACAUUUUUAAAAAGAAAACUCCAAACCGACCCUAUGUGUGUUCCUAUCACUUCGUGGACAAGAGGCCGACUGAAGAGCAUCCUUUCACUGAGAAGUGGCUGGGCUAUGAUGCUCCAGUACAGAUCAGAAGGCGACAUCUCAUCAGUACAUAAACACAUACAUGUACAGUAGCUGUUAGCUAGCUGCUAACGUUACUCGCUAGCUAUCGUCACACAUAGGGUAUCCUGAAUCAGGCAGACGUUAGCUAACUGUUAGUAGUAAAUGAAGACAAUUGUGAUGUGGAGUCUGAUCUGAGUGUGCCAAUGGCACUGCAGCAUAAAGAUGCUGAUACUCAAUGGGAUGUUCCAGCACUGACUGAUCACAGCUAUGUGUCAAGAGAACCAGUCAACAAGCCCAUCUGCCACAAACAAACCCAAUGUGGUGGUGCAGAGUCAUUGACCCACACCAUCCUGAAGAAUGACACUAGCUCAGUGUUGUAUACUGGCCUUCCUCUAAGCAUUUUCUUUAACCAUGUAGCAUUUCUGCAUAAAUUCUACAUGGCUAACUUCAAAAUGCAUAUCACUGAUCAAAUACUGAUAACCUUGAUGAAGCUGAAUCUACUCCACAGUGAUCUUGCUGAACACUUUCAUGUGUCCCAGGGAGUAGUGAGCAGAAUCCUUUCCUACUGGAUUGACACAAUGGAGGAGCUCAUGAGGAUCUACAUUCCAUGGCAGCCGAGGUUAGACAAUCCAGAAGAUGCUGCCUCAGUGCUUCAAAGAGAAGUUAUCCAACACCACUUGCAUCAUCCACUGCUCCGAGACCAUUCUUCAGAAAGCACACAAUCUCGAUUCCAGAUGGGAGUCAUACAGCCACUAUUAUUCCAACAAUACUCUCAAGUAUUUGGUUGCCAUUGCUCUAUGUGGACUCAUUAUGUUCAUUUCUCCUGCAUAUAGAGGCAGAUGCAGUGACAAGUUCAUCACCCAAAACUCUGGCUUCCUGGAAAACCUUAGGCCUGGCGAUGAAGUUAUGGCUGACGGGCUUCAUCAUCUGAGAUCUGCUGUAUGAGAGGAAGGUAAACCUUGCCAUACCAGCCUUCACCCAGAAAGGAGGCCAGCUGUCUGACGAGGAUGUCGCAAGCACAAGAAGGAUAGUUAAUGUGCAUAUACAUGUUUAGAGAGUUAUCAGACACAAGGUGUUCAAAUCCUCUUCCAGACUGUUCCCAUCAACCUGACACACAAAAUGGACAAAGUCCUUAGAAUCUGUGCAGCCCUUGUUAACAUGCAGUGCGAGAUCAUCCAUGAGGAUGCAGAAUGAGCAGUGAGAAUGUUCAUACAUUUGAAAUGUAACUUUAAACACUAUUAUUUCAUCCACCUUAGAUACUAUGUAUGUGUAUAUAUAUAUAUGCUCUCCAUCCAACCUCACUGAGCUCGAGAUGUUUUACAAGGAGGAAUGGGAAAAAAAUGUCAGUCUCUCGAUGUGCAAAACUGAUAGAGACAUACCCCAAGCGACUUACAGCUGUAAUCGCAGCAAAAGGUGGCGCUACAAAGUAUUAACUUAAGGGGGCUGAAUAAUUUUGCACGCCCAAUUUUUCAGUUUUUGAUUUGUUAAAAAAGUUUGAAAUAUCCAAUAAAUGUCGUUCCACUUCA
Molecule: long non-coding RNA, 1955 nt
Organism: Oncorhynchus masou masou (cherry salmon)
Lineage: Eukaryota; Metazoa; Chordata; Actinopteri; Salmoniformes; Salmonidae
Exons: 2
Source: RefSeq, a predicted model, not a curated record